AUGGCCACUGCAGCAGGCAGCGAGGAGCCCGAGCCCAAGCCUACGCUACGAGCUGCGAUCCUUGCUAUCAUCCUCACACUAUGCGUCGGCGGUCUGAUACUAGGGCUUCAAAAGUGGGACUCAAGCAUUCACCUUGAUCCCAGUUAUUCCGUCAGACUGACGGAGGUGCACGGCCUCGACCCAGCGCGCAGCCCGGUGAUCCGCCCCGACUUCAACCUCGAGCUGCGUGUCGACAACAAGGGCGUCGACAGGACCUGCAAGGAGGAGAUCACGGUCACCGUGUUCUACGGCGACAUGGUUGUCGGAUGGGCGGAUGUGCCGGACUUCUGCGUCGGCAAGCAGUCAUCGACGGACGUGAAUGUCAAGCUGUCUCACACGGACGUGCUGCUGACCGACACGUUGCGCCGCCGCUUGGCGUCGGAGCUGCGAUCGGGGGAGUUGGAGUUCGUGGUGGAGAUGAGGAUGGUCAUACCCGUGGGAUCUGAUCGGGAGUGCGCUGAUGAUUAUUGCACGUCGAGGCAGUCUUUCCUACACUGCCGUGCAAAGCCUGGCCAAGACUAUGUACACCGUGAUCUACUCCCAACGCGAAGAGUCUAG
RNAcentral lists this ribosomal RNA (597 nucleotides) under Triticum aestivum (bread wheat). RNAcentral describes it as "partial small subunit ribosomal RNA". The record is from RNAcentral. Lineage: Eukaryota; Viridiplantae; Streptophyta; Magnoliopsida; Poales; Poaceae.